Long non-coding RNA from Pangasianodon hypophthalmus (striped catfish), 1600 nucleotides. RefSeq lists it as uncharacterized. The record is from RefSeq and is a predicted model, not a curated record. The transcript is spliced from 3 exons. NCBI's taxonomy places the organism in Eukaryota, Metazoa, Chordata, Actinopteri, Siluriformes, Pangasiidae.
GGGUAAGAUUAGUGAGUGUUGAUUUGUUAGCGGCUGAAAAUACUAAAAAUUUGUAUCAGUUAGCUUUAUCUAUCUAGUGUUAUGAACAUCCAUUCAUUUUCCGUACCACUUAUCCUACACAGGGUCGCAGGGAACUUGACGCAGGAAACACCUAUCAGCCUACAAUACAUGUCUUUGGACUGGGGGAGGAAACUCCCAAAGCAGAGGGACAACAUGCAAGCUCCAGGCACACAGGGCCACCCAGAGGUAUCAGCAGAGCUAGCUAAUGUUUGCUAGCCUGACUAGCAAUCUGACAGCCUUGCUGGCUAACCAGGCUAGCUGUUACAUCAGAAAACAUAGAAAGGGUAGUGUGAGCACAGCUAUGAUAUCACACUAUGAUUAGGAAAAACACACAAAACAGCUAUAUAUGCGAGUUAGUAGUAAUGUUGACAACAUAAACACAACAUGCUAAUGGGCAGAAAAAUGUCGUUAUUACUUCAAACUCAUUCUGAAGAAUGGUUCGGUUCAUGCUAGUCUGUUUUCUGCACAAGCCCAGGUCUUCAUUGUAUAAUCUGAGAUGGAGAAUACAUUAUUGCACAGUCUGUUAUAGAAUUUGGCCAAGAGUUUAUUUAGAUCAUCUCAAACAGAAUAACUAGCCAAGCAACUAGCCAACAGCCUUAAGCAGCUAGCUAAUAUUAGUAGUAGUAAGUUAAUUCCAGUUUUUAUAGCAAUUCAUUACUGCACAAAUAAUCCUGGGGAUUCGUAACUAAAUAUAAUCGUAAAUUAACUAUAAUAAGUAACUAACAUGCAGUGAUUGUUGUCAUUAGCUGCUGUGGCAAAAACAUACUAGCCAGAGAAAAAUAACAUAAAAUGGCUGAAAACAAAUGUCACCCAAAAUAUAAACAAAACAUGAAUAAACAUUUUUCUCCAGAAUUUUGAACAAAAUGUGUGUGAAAGUCUAAAGAAUCCAACGUUUGUUGUUUUAAUUAGCUGAGGGGAGUCAGGUGUGUUAAAUCAGAGCAGCUAAUCUCAGCAGCCCUUCAGCUCUGGAGCCUGACAUCACUGCUCUAGUCACCUUUUCAUAAACAUACAUUGAACCAUUUAGCCUCUGCGGAUAAAAACAUGACCUGAGGCGAGACAGUGGAAAGGCUGGAGGCAGAGAUAUAGCGUGAAGAGAGGAACAGCAGGAUUGAGCCGGAUUGUUAGAGGAGAAAUAACAGGAGAAGCAGAGAAGCAGAGCCUGCAGAGCGGAGGAGUGGAUGUGCUGGGUGAAACAUGGUGGAAGAUGAUUGACGUAAAGCGACAGGCGCCAGGAACGUCACACCCUUCACCUGAAGAGGCUUGACGGAUUAGACAGGACUCUAUAGAGCAAAAGUUCCUGAGUGCGUCUUUGAGGACCAGUGCAAACUUGGACUUUUAUUUGGACUCCAGCUCCCAUUCCACCUAAGGCCAGGUUGAAUUUGGUGAAGCAAACCAUCACAAAACCCCUCCUCCCUCCCUCACGCAAGGAGUUGUGGGCAACAUUAGCUGAAAACGUGUCCAUGGGUCCACACUUCGAAAAUCUACCAGGAAUAGUAGACCAUCCAGUUACCAUUCAGGUACUCAUUUAAACAUACUAUGA